ACGUAGGUGGCGAGCGUUGUCCGGAAUUAUUGGGCGUAAAGGGAGCGCAGGCGGGAGGUCAAGUCUAUCUUAAAAGUGCGGGGCUCAACCCCGUGGAGGGGAUGGAAACUGGUCUUCUUGAGUGCAGGAGAGGAAAGCGGAAUUCCUAGUGUAGCGGUGAAAUGCGUAGAUAUUAGGAGGAACACCAGUGGCGAAGGCGGCUUUCUGGACUGUAACUGACGCUGAGGCUCGAAAGCGUGGGGAGCGA
RNAcentral lists this ribosomal RNA (247 nucleotides) under uncultured bacterium. RNAcentral describes it as "partial 16S ribosomal RNA". It matches the Rfam family "Bacterial small subunit ribosomal RNA", at positions 525 to 771 of the family's 1533-position model. The record is from RNAcentral.